CUCUACCUUUUGGAUUGGAAUAACCUGUCGAAAGACGGGCUAAUGCCGAGUAAGCCUUCUUGAACGUGAAGUUCGAGACGGGAAAGAUGGCGCAAGCUAUCGCCGAAAGAUGAGCCUGCGUCCCAUUAGUUAGUUGUGGGGUAAUGGCUUACCAAGACAAUGAUGGGUACCUGGUUUGAGAGAAUGAUCAGGCACACUGGAACUGAAACACGGUCCAGACUCCUACGGGAGGCAGCAGUAGGGAAUAUUGCGCAAUGGACGAAAGUCUGACGCAGCCACGCCGCGUGAGUGAGGAAGGCCUUCGGGUUGUAAAGCUCUGUCGGCUGGGAAAAACGGCUAUCCGGGGAAAGUUCGGGUAGCGUGAUGGUACCAGCAAAGGAAGCACCGGCAAACUCUGUG
This 399-nucleotide ribosomal RNA is filed under the name uncultured bacterium. RNAcentral describes it as "bacterial SSU rRNA". It matches the Rfam family "Bacterial small subunit ribosomal RNA", at positions 124 to 507 of the family's 1533-position model. The record is from RNAcentral.